Molecule: transfer RNA, 77 nt
Filed under: Dreissena polymorpha
Lineage: Eukaryota; Metazoa; Mollusca; Bivalvia; Myida; Dreissenidae
Rfam family: tRNA
About the family: Transfer RNA (tRNA) molecules are approximately 80 nucleotides in length.
Source: Rfam by way of RNAcentral
GUUGUCGUGGCCGAGAAGGCGAUAGACUAAAAAUAUUUUGGGAUCUUCCCGCGUAGGUUCGAAUCCUGCCGACGUCA